GAUGAAGAACGUAGUGAAAUGCGAUACGUAAUGUGAAUUGCAGAAUUCAGUGAAUCAUCGAGUCUUUGAACGCACAUUGCGCCCCCUGGUAUUCCGGGGGGCAUGCCUGUCCGAGCGUCAUUGCUGCCCUCAAGCACGGCUUGUGUGUUGGGCCUCCGUCCUCCUCCCGGGGGACGGGCCCGAAAGGCAGCGGCGGCACCGCGUCCGGUCCUCGAGCGUAUGGGGCUUCGUCACCCGCUCUUGUAGGCCCGGCCGGCGCUUGCCGACACAUCAAUCUUUUUUCCAGGUUGACCUCGGAUCAGGUAGGGAUACCCGCUGAACUUAAGCAUAUCAUAAGGGAGGA
This 343-nucleotide unclassified non-coding RNA is filed under the name soil metagenome. RNAcentral describes it as "partial contains 5.8S ribosomal RNA, internal transcribed spacer 2, and large subunit ribosomal RNA". The stretch from base 1 to 120 matches the Rfam family "5.8S ribosomal RNA", at positions 35 to 154 of the family's 154-position model. The record is from RNAcentral.